Molecule: ribosomal RNA, 304 nt
Filed under: Bacillus sp. MCA2.53
Lineage: Bacteria; Bacillati; Bacillota; Bacilli; Caryophanales; Bacillaceae
Description: bacterial SSU rRNA
Rfam family: Bacterial small subunit ribosomal RNA
Source: RNAcentral
AGCUUGCUCCCUGAUGUUAGCGGCGGACGGGUGAGUAACACGUGGGUAACCUGCCUGUAAGACUGGGAUAACUCCGGGAAACCGGGGCUAAUACCGGAUGGUUGUUUGAACCGCAUGGUUCAAACAUAAAAGGUGGCUUCGGCUACCACUUACAGAUGGACCCGCGGCGCAUUAGCUAGUUGGUGAGGUAACGGCUCACCAAGGCAACGAUGCGUAGCCGACCUGAGAGGGUGAUCGGCCACACUGGGACUGAGACACGGCCCAGACUCCUACGGGAGGCAGCAGUAGGGAAUCUUCCGCAAUG